This is a long non-coding RNA of Oncorhynchus tshawytscha (Chinook salmon), 503 nucleotides long. RefSeq lists it as uncharacterized. The record is from RefSeq and is a predicted model, not a curated record. The transcript is spliced from 4 exons. Lineage: Eukaryota; Metazoa; Chordata; Actinopteri; Salmoniformes; Salmonidae.
AUAAACAAACAUGAACACUUACCACACCUCGCUUUGGUCUGACUACUCUUCCUCAUCUGAUGACGAAAGCCGUUACAAUUACUGUAUAAGAAACGGAGAGAGUGGACAGAUCCUGCGCUUGUGGGUAUCGGGAUAUAAUCAUGGACUUUCUGCAGAAGAUGUCAGUAAGUCUGUCCCCACAUGAGCCGUAAUGGAGUCUGAAGUUAUCAGCCAAGCAGAGCCAUGCAGCCACAAGGCUUCAGGACCCGGCCUGCCUCCAAGAGGAACCGCUGCUGGUCAAACCAAUGGGCCGCUGAGGCUGCAGUCAGUAGGUCCACAGAAGCAUCCGGAAACGGCAGCUCCUCAGCUGUCCCUUUCCUGUAUAGUAAUGCAGGAUGAUGUCUCUGAUCUCCUCUGGGGGUACAAAGCGGUACCUCUGGUAGAUGGAGGCAUGGUGUUUCUCCUCAAACAGCCGGCAGUUCAUGGUGCUCUGCUGUCUGCUCCGCUAGCCUAGUGCUCCUUCC